RNAcentral lists this non-coding RNA (24 nucleotides) under Arabidopsis thaliana (thale cress). The record is from RNAcentral. Lineage: Eukaryota; Viridiplantae; Streptophyta; Magnoliopsida; Brassicales; Brassicaceae.
CUACCACUUAACAGGCGUUGAUGG